GACGAACGCUGGCGGCGCGCCUAACACAUGCAAGUCGAACGAGAGGUGAGGAGCUUGCUCUUCAAAUCGAGUGGCGAACGGGUGAGUAACGCGUGAGGAACCUGCCUCAAAGAGGGGGACAACAGUUGGAAACGACUGCUAAUACCGCAUAAGCCCACGGCUCGGCAUCGAGCAGAGGGAAAAGGAGCAAUCCGCUUUGAGAUGGCCUCGCGUCCGAUUAGCUAGUUGGUGAGGUAACGGCCCACCAAGGCGACGAUCGGUAGCCGGACUGAGAGGUUGAACGGCCACAUUGGGACUGAGACACGGCCCAGACUCCUACGGGAGGCAGCAGUGGGGAAUAUUGCACAAUGGGGGAAACCCUGAUGCAGCGACGCCGCGUGGAGGAAGAAGGUCUUCGGAUUGUAAACUCCUGUUGU
Molecule: ribosomal RNA, 416 nt
Filed under: uncultured bacterium
Lineage: Bacteria
Description: bacterial SSU rRNA
Rfam family: Bacterial small subunit ribosomal RNA
Source: RNAcentral